GGUGGAAUUGUAGUUGUAGUUUGUGUGUCGAUCGUUGGGAAAUGUGAAGUGGGACGAGAAUUUGCAUGAAGAGCGUUUCGGAGCAUACCGAAGUCCUGUGUGGUGUUAACACCGCUGCAUACUCUCAUAAAUAUUACAGGGUGCAUCAGGAAGAAAAAUUUAUGGCCCUUUCAAACUAAUUUACUCGAUGUUUUCUCCAUGGCAUCCUCAAGACGACGUCGGAAGCUAGAACACGCCGUUCGGAGGUAGUCCUCCGACAUUGACUGCCAUGUACGCGUUAUUGCAGACCACAGGGUCUUCACACUAAGAUAGCCGCGCGAGAUAGCUGGUGGAUGAUAAUCCAGACGACCGGAGUUCGAACCCGCAUCGGAGCAGUUUUCACCAAACAUCAAUCUGUGCCAUUUUAAACAUUCAUAUUCCUCUCCCAACACAAGUCAAUCUAACAAUUAUUAUUUCUACAAACAUAAAUACUCAUAUAUAAAAAUGGCGAUUUG
This is a long non-coding RNA of Toxorhynchites rutilus septentrionalis, 494 nucleotides long. RefSeq lists it as uncharacterized. The record is from RefSeq and is a predicted model, not a curated record. The transcript has 4 exons. NCBI's taxonomy places the organism in Eukaryota, Metazoa, Arthropoda, Insecta, Diptera, Culicidae.